AUUACGGUUUUGACUACUGGGGACAAGGCACGAUGGUCACAGUUACAUCAGCCACUUCAACUAAACCAACUGUGUUCCCACUGAUGCCAUGUGGUUCUGGGACUGGAAACACGGUCACUCUUGGCUGCCUCGCCACCGGCUUCACACCCUCCUCACUGACUUUCGCAUGGAACAAAAAUGGAGUUACCGUGGCAGAUUCUAUUCAGUACCCUUCGGUACUGAAAGGUGACCUCUACACAGGAGUCAGUCAAAUCCAAGUCCCGAGACGGGACUGGGACGCCACGCCGAGCAACCGUUACAAGUGUCUUGUGACGCAUGCUGCAGGAAAUGGAGACACUACCAUCAUUAAGCCAGAGGUAAUUUAUACGCCACCCAAGGUGAAAGUGUUGGCCCUCUCUGGUGAGGCAAACGAGGCCUCCUUCCUCUGCACUGCCACAGACUUUUCACCAAAAGAUCACCAGAUCAAAUGGCUGAAAAAUGACGCGGAAAUCACUAAGGAAAUCUCUGAAUUCAAAAGCUAUAAUGAUACACAUUACAGUGUAGCAAGUAUUCUCAAAUUGCAAUCCAGUGACGUGCCUGAAAAGGCCGAGAUUAGAUGCGAGUUCAAGUGGAAAAGCGGCCAGUAUGCUGGAUUAUUGAAUGACACUCUGGAAUACAGCCCCAAAAGACCAAAUCCGUCCAACGAAUGCCCUGAAGCAGACGUGGUUGUACGAAUCGAAGGCCCCAAACUGGAGGAAAUACUUCCAGAGAAGAAAGGGAUCCUGCUUGAAUGGGACAAUGCCAUGAAGGCAGAAGAUGAUAACAUGGGAAACACUGCCGUCACCUUCAUCAUUCUCUUCCUCACCUCCAUUCUGUUCAUCAUUGGAACCACUGCUUUCAAGGUUAAAUGAAACCAGGCGAACUUUCUGUACAGUAAUACUUUUUCAUAUAUUUUUUUCUUGUAAACUCAGUAUCAUGUAAGUAACCGCAAUUUCCCCCUUUUCCCAUUAAAAUUUCAAGAGCUUUAUGUCUUUUUGAAAAUAAAUGUUAAAAUGCAGAUAACAACUGAUGCCGUUACUUUUUUCUCCUCACCAUUACUUUGAAAUGGUUUGCAUCAUCCAGUUUGAAUAUGUUUUAUACAAUACUCAUAACUGUGUUAUUUAAUAUUCUGUCUGUGUUUAUUGUUGUACUGAAUUAUGUAAUAAAAGGUUAUGUUCA
Molecule: non-coding RNA, 1197 nt
Organism: Hippoglossus stenolepis (Pacific halibut)
Lineage: Eukaryota; Metazoa; Chordata; Actinopteri; Pleuronectiformes; Pleuronectidae
Source: the annotation of a RefSeq genome assembly